RNAcentral lists this long non-coding RNA (380 nucleotides) under Anas platyrhynchos platyrhynchos (common mallard). RNAcentral describes it as "lncRNA (ENSAPLG00000030032.1)". Lineage: Eukaryota; Metazoa; Chordata; Aves; Anseriformes; Anatidae. The record is from RNAcentral.
UUAGUUCAACAGGUUCCACUUAAUAUCCUUUGCGUAACUCCCCUGUCCUUCAUGUUAAAUGAAGUAUCUGUUUUCUUUUUUUUUUCAACAGUGCAAAAUAGACACACAGACCUGCUCCUUGCUUGGGGUACCCGGUACAUACAGGCACCGUGCUUACCAUGCACUUGUGAUGCUCCUCAGUACAACAGUCUUGGAAAUACACCAUAAGUAGCAGGCAUUUUUUUUUUGUUUAGAAAACAGUGGAAUAGUAAUCUUGUCAAGCAAUUGACAACAUGUUUAACCUGUAAGUUAAUUUUAGUUUGUCUUUGGUGUUUAGAGAGAAAUACUGUGUUAAAGAUGUAUAUGUUCUCAUCAGUUGCUAUUGUUUUAGUAGCUUAAUU